RNAcentral lists this long non-coding RNA (519 nucleotides) under Medicago truncatula (barrel medic). RNAcentral describes it as "long non-coding RNA (MTRU_LNC006848)". The record is from RNAcentral. Lineage: Eukaryota; Viridiplantae; Streptophyta; Magnoliopsida; Fabales; Fabaceae.
GAGAGAAGAGUUCGAGAUCAUGAGUGUAAAUUAAUGAGAUGAAUGGGAAAGUCGUAUUUCCCAAAGUUCAUUCGGGCUUACUGCGACGGAUGUAGCUCUUUGAGAGAAUAAUUAUUUAAUGUGCAAAUUUAGACGUGGGAGGUUAAAAGAAGAAUUAGAAACAUUAUUAAGGUGUUGCUUGAUUUAAAUUAUGUGAAUAUGUGGUAUUUGAAGUCAUGGAUAAAUUUGUGUGCUCAUGCUUGAUUUGCUGCAACUAUUUAGAUUGAUGACUUAUUUAAUGAUUGGUAUAAAUGUGAUGCUAUGUAUUUGAAUGUAAUUUUUGGUAUGAUAUGAUGACUAUUGGAAUAUGAUUACGUGUGAUUGAAAAUAUGAUAAGUGUUGAUGAACGAGAUGUCGAUUAGAGAUGGAUAAGCAUUGAUGUUAUUCUUUAGAUGACAAGUAGGGAUGAUUCCAGCUUAUGUUGUAGAUGACACUCUUAAGGAGUAUCUUAGGCCAACGAGGGGAUAGAUUAGAUGUAAG